Molecule: ribosomal RNA, 422 nt
Filed under: uncultured bacterium
Lineage: Bacteria
Description: partial 16S ribosomal RNA
Rfam family: Bacterial small subunit ribosomal RNA
Source: RNAcentral
AAUAUUUGACAAUGGGCGAAAGACUGAGCCCGCCAGGCCGCGUGUGUGAAGAAUGUCUUCUGAUGGUAAAGCACUUUAUUCUGGGCGGAAGGGUUGUAGAUUAAUACUCUGCAAUUUUGACGUUACCAAUAGAAUAAGCACCCUCUAACAUCGGUCCAUCAGUCGCGGUAAUACGAAGGGUGCAAGCGUUAAUCGGAAUUACUGGGCGUAAAGCGCGCGUAGGUGGUUCGUUAAGUUGGAAGUGAAAGCCCCGGGCUUAACCUGGGAAUUGCUUUCAAAACUGACGAGCUAGAGUACGGUAGAAGGUAGUGGAAUUUCCUGUGUAGGGGUGAAAUGCGUAGAUAUAGGAAGGGACAUCAGUGGCGAAGGCGACUACCUGGACUGAUAAUGACACUGAGGUACGAAAGCGUGGGGAGCAAACA